RNAcentral lists this long non-coding RNA (780 nucleotides) under Astyanax mexicanus (Mexican tetra). RNAcentral's name for it is "lncRNA (ENSAMXG00005020952.1)". The record is from RNAcentral. Lineage: Eukaryota; Metazoa; Chordata; Actinopteri; Characiformes; Acestrorhamphidae.
GAAUGCACAAUUUUGUUUUUGUUUUUUCCAACAGGACAAUGCUCGUCUGCAUACUGCUGCUAUCUCAAGAACUUGCCUUGAAGACACAAAGGCUAUGUCAUGACCUGUCACAUUGCCAAACCUGUCCGUGAUUGAAAAUGUGUCAGAUGCUAUGGGACGUGCUAUCAACACUCCAGCACUACUUCUUUAACCCCACUCCGAGACAUCUGUGUUCCUCGUCUAAUUACAACAGACAAAUACCAGAUACAGCACAGCACAGUAUGUUCUUUAAACCGGAAUAAAGCGGAUAUUUUCUCCUCAAUGUGUGUGUUGGACUACUAAGAGAGAGCAGAGCUGCUCGUGGCUGGAGCGAGGAAAGAGGACACACUCCUCUGGAUUUCCCGCCGAUUUACUUCCCGCGUGCUCGGGUAAGUCCUGAUGUGAUUUUUUUUAUUAAAUGUUAUUUAACCUAAAUUAAUUCAUUAAGUCUAUUUUUUUCUAUGGUCUCACUCGUCCUUUUCCCUUCUUUUUCUUUUCCUGUUGUUACAUUCGUAGUCUUCGUGGUUCUGCUGCUUUCUAUCAGGAUCUUUUAUGUGACCAAGAGCAUCGGAAAAGGGAAAUUCGGAGGAGGGGUAUUCUUUCAUUCCUCUGGUCUGGGCAGCUCAGUCAUCCCGUCGUCCUUAAACUGUCAUCCUCAGUAAUGAUCACACCCUGCUGGGGCAGGUGUAGUGUGUGUGUGAGUUAAUGUCACCAUGAAACCCACCUGAGCAGCUCCGAGGAGUCUCCACUCUGGUUCUCUGC